GCCUGGGUGGCUCAGUCGGUUGAGCGUCCGACUUCGGCUCAGGUCAUGAUCUCACGGUCUGUGGGUUCGAGCCCUACGUCGGGCU
RNAcentral lists this transfer RNA (85 nucleotides) under Felis catus (domestic cat). It matches the Rfam family "tRNA". Rfam says of the family: Transfer RNA (tRNA) molecules are approximately 80 nucleotides in length. The record is from Rfam by way of RNAcentral. Lineage: Eukaryota; Metazoa; Chordata; Mammalia; Carnivora; Felidae.